This 1464-nucleotide ribosomal RNA is filed under the name Lactobacillaceae bacterium. RNAcentral's name for it is "bacterial SSU rRNA". It matches the Rfam family "Bacterial small subunit ribosomal RNA". Lineage: Bacteria; Bacillati; Bacillota; Bacilli; Lactobacillales; Lactobacillaceae. The record is from RNAcentral.
AUCGGAGUCGGGUGCUAUACUGCAGUCGACGAACUCUGGUAUUGAUUGGUGCUUGCAUCAUGAUUUACAUUUGAGUGAGUGGCGAACUGGUGAGUAACACGUGGGAAACCUGCCCAGAAGCGGGGGAUAACACCUGGAAACAGAUGCUAAUACCGCAUAACAACUUGGACCGCAUGGUCCGAGCUUGAAAGAUGGCUUCGGCUAUCACUUUUGGAUGGUCCCGCGGCGUAUUAGCUAGAUGGUGGGGUAACGGCUCACCAUGGCAAUGAUACGUAGCCGACCUGAGAGGGUAAUCGGCCACAUUGGGACUGAGACACGGCCCAAACUCCUACGGGAGGCAGCAGUAGGGAAUCUUCCACAAUGGACGAAAGUCUGAUGGAGCAACGCCGCGUGAGUGAAGAAGGGUUUCGGCUCGUAAAACUCUGUUGUUAAAGAAGAACAUAUCUGAGAGUAACUGUUCAGGUAUUGACGGUAUUUAACCAGAAAGCCACGGCUAACUACGUGCCAGCAGCCGCGGUAAUACGUAGGUGGCAAGCGUUGUCCGGAUUUAUUGGGCGUAAAGCGAGCGCAGGCGGUUUUUUAAGUCUGAUGUGAAAGCCUUCGGCUCAACCGAAGAAGUGCAUCGGAAACUGGGAAACUUGAGUGCAGAAGAGGACAGUGGAACUCCAUGUGUAGCGGUGAAAUGCGUAGAUAUAUGGAAGAACACCAGUGGCGAAGGCGGCUGUCUGGUCUGUAACUGACGCUGAGGCUCGAAAGUAUGGGUAGCAAACAGGAUUAGAUACCCUGGUAGUCCAUACCGUAAACGAUGAAUGCUAAGUGUUGGAGGGUUUCCGCCCUUCAGUGCUGCAGCUAACGCAUUAAGCAUUCCGCCUGGGGAGUACGGGCCGCAAGGCUGAAACUCAAAGGAAUUGACGGGGGCCCGCACAAGCGGUGGAGCAUGUGGUUUAAUUCGAAGCUACGCGAAGAACCUUACCAGGUCUUGACAUACUAUGCAAAUCUAAGAGAUUAGACGUUCCCUUCGGGGACAUGGAUACAGGUGGUGCAUGGUUGUCGUCAGCUCGUGUCGUGAGAUGUUGGGUUAAGUCCCGCAACGAGCGCAACCCUUAUUAUCAGUUGCCAGCAUUAAGUUGGGCACUCUGGUGAGACUGCCGGUGACAAACCGGAGGAAGGUGGGGAUGACGUCAAAUCAUCAUGCCCCUUAUGACCUGGGCUACACACGUGCUACAAUGGAUGGUACAACGAGUUGCGAACUCGCGAGAGUAAGCUAAUCUCUUAAAGCCAUUCUCAGUUCGGAUUGUAGGCUGCAACUCGCCUACAUGAAGUCGGAAUCGCUAGUAAUCGCGGAUCAGCAUGCCGCGGUGAAUACGUUCCCGGGCCUUGUACACACCGCCCGUCACACCAUGAGAGUUUGUAACACCCAAAGUCGGUGGGGUAACCUUUAGAACCAGCCGCUAAGGACAGAGU